GAUGAACGCUGGCGGCGUGCCUAAUACAUGCAAGUCGAGCGAACGGACGAGAAGCUUGCUUUUCUGAUGUUAGCGGCGGACGGGUGAGUAACACGUGGAUAACCUACCUAUAAUACUGGGAUAACUUCGGGAAACCGGAGCUAAUACCGGAUAAUAUUUUGAACCGCAUGGUUCAAAAGUGAAAGACGGUCUUGCUGUCACUUAUAGAUGGAUCCGGGCUGCAUUAUCUAGUUGGUAAGGUAACGGCUUACCAAGGCAACGAUGCAUAGCCGACCUGAAAGGGUGAUCGGCCACACUGGAAGUGAGACACGGCCCAGACUCCUACGGGAGGCAGCAGUAGGGAAUCUUCCGCAAUGGGCGAAAGCCUGACGGAGCACCGCGGCGUGAGUGCUGAAGGUCUUCGGCUCGUAAAACUCUGUUAUUAGUGAAGAACAUAUGUGUAAGUAACUGUGCACAUCUUGACGGUACCUAGUCAGAAAGCCCCGGCUAACUACGUG
This 497-nucleotide ribosomal RNA is filed under the name uncultured bacterium. RNAcentral's name for it is "partial 16S ribosomal RNA". It matches the Rfam family "Bacterial small subunit ribosomal RNA", at positions 28 to 507 of the family's 1533-position model. The record is from RNAcentral.